RNAcentral lists this ribosomal RNA (448 nucleotides) under uncultured bacterium. RNAcentral describes it as "SSU rRNA". It matches the Rfam family "Bacterial small subunit ribosomal RNA", at positions 26 to 518 of the family's 1533-position model. The record is from RNAcentral.
AGAGCGAACGCUGGCGGCAGGCUUAACACAUGCAAGUCGAGCGGGCGUAGCAAUACGUCAGCGGCAGACGGGUGAGUAACGCGUGGGAACGUACCUUUGGUUCGGAACAACACAGGGAAACUUGUGCUAAUACCGGAUAAGCCCUUACGGGGAAAGAUUUAUCGCCAAAAGAUCGGCCCGCGUCUGAUUAGCUAGUUGGUGAGGUAACGGCUCACCAAGGCGACGAUCAGUAGCUGGUCUGAGAGGAUGAUCAGCCACAUUGGGACUGAGACACGGCCCAAACUCCUACGGGAGGCAGCAGUGGGGAAUAUUGGACAAUGGGCGCAAGCCUGAUCCAGCCAUGCCGCGUGAGUGAUGAAGGCCCUAGGGUUGUAAAGCUCUUUUGUGCGGGAAGAUAAUGACGGUACCGCAAGAAUAAGCCCCGGACUAACUUCGUGCCAGCAGCCGC